AUUGAACGCUGGCGGUAUGCUUAACACAUGCAAGUCGAACGGUAACAGACCUUCGGGUGCUGACGAGUGGCGGACGGGUGAGUAAUGCGUAGGAAUCUGCCCACGAGUGGGGGACAACCUGGGGAAACUCAGGCUAAUACCGCAUACGCUCGGGAGAGGAAAGCGGGGGACCUUCGGGCCUCGCGCUGGUGGAGGAGCCUACGUCCGAUUAGCUAGUUGGUAGGGUAACAGCCUACCAAGGCGACGAUCGGUAGCUGGUCUGAGAGGAUGAUCAGCCACACUGGGACUGAGACACGGCCCAGACUCCUAUGGGAGGCUG
This 319-nucleotide ribosomal RNA is filed under the name uncultured Pseudomonadota bacterium. Its description in RNAcentral is "bacterial SSU rRNA". It matches the Rfam family "Bacterial small subunit ribosomal RNA", at positions 30 to 351 of the family's 1533-position model. Lineage: Bacteria; Pseudomonadati; Pseudomonadota. The record is from RNAcentral.